This is a long non-coding RNA of Anopheles merus, 938 nucleotides long. RefSeq lists it as uncharacterized. The record is from RefSeq and is a predicted model, not a curated record. The transcript has 3 exons. NCBI's taxonomy places the organism in Eukaryota, Metazoa, Arthropoda, Insecta, Diptera, Culicidae.
UUAGCAAAUUUCCAGAAAGAUGUGGGAUGUCGUUUGAUAUUGAUUUCAAUUUUCCUGACGUAGUUGGCGUAGGCGGUUCGGUUCAGCUGCUUAUAUAUUUUUGAGGCGCGAGCAAAAUUUAUUUGAUUAGUGCUGUUUUUUAGUCGAUGCAGUUUUUUAAGGGCCCGUGAUCUUCGACGUUUAGCCAAACGUAGUGCAGAAUUGGUCCAUGGUGGAUGAGCACGAACAUUAAACCGUGGGAUGAAUUGUUCAAACAGUUCAUUCAUUUGAGAAGAAAAUUCAGCCACACUGUCGUUGAUGUCGUCAUAAUCAGCGAUAGAGUCUCAGUUGAUUUGGUUAAGUGCAGAAACGAGAUCAGUGAAAUUAGUUCGUCUUAAAUUAAAAUCUGCUUGACGUGGGGGUUGAGAUGACGGUACACUGUAUUGCGGGAGCGUGAAGUAUAUCUAACAUAUUGUUAUUGUGGUUUAGAACAGUGUUAAGUUGGCGAAGACCUUCAAAGCAUAGUUCGUCGAGUAGAGCUUGACUGGUAGGGGAUAGUCGGUGCAAUGAAUUACAGAAUGCAUUUAUGGUGUCCAUGUUGGCUGAUUGAUCAGGAGGCAAAUAAAAUGAUCCGAUGAUUAGCGAAACAUUAAGAACUUUUACUCGAACCCAAAGGCAUUCAAUUGUAGAUGUGUUUGUCGAGCACAGAGAGGAAGCAUAAUUUGCAUUGAUCGCAACGAGGACACCACCACCUCUACAUUUGUUACUGUUUGCUGCAGAACGAUCCGUACGGAAUGCAUUAAAGCGGUUGUUAUCAAACAAAAGCUCAGAUGGAAAGCUGUCAUCUAGCCACGUUUCCGUAAGAACGAUAACAUCCCAGUCGGCGAUUGCAGUGUUAGCAAAACAUUCUGAGGUUUUAGUACGUAAGCCUCUCACGUUUUGAUAAAAGAUAUUGAAUG